GUGAGAGCUGUGGCGGAGGGAUAUGCAGAUACACGGCGAGCAGAGGAAUGCACAACAGACCCACGUGAAGCCACCACUCCCUGCUGACACGACGGACCGCUCCGCACUCACUCUUAUUCUGCUGCAGACAGGAAUUAAGCAGGAUUUGCAGUAAAGCUUGACUGGCUCUUCCUCACAUCGCUCUGUGAUGGACUGGGUGUUUUCCUGCUUUGGGUCGGAGACUCUGGGACAGACUCCAGCAUCUCCUCACAGGAUCCUACAGGAGAAGCGGUUUGGAGAAUGAAUGGAUGGAGAACAGGCAUGAGACCAGAUCAAUGUGCUAAUGUGCUCUCCCUUGUGGACAAUAAGUGUAUCUGCAUUAAUACAUGAAAACAGCAGGAGGAAAGAGAUUGUCUAAUCCUGCUCCUGGUGAGCCACUGUCCUGAUUUUAGCUCCAACCCUGAUGAAAAACAGCUGAAGCAAAAACUCCUUCACACCACAAAUCCAGUGGUUCAGGCUAUAAAGUGCUGCGCUUCAAUCACAGAGUCUUGAGUUCAAAUCCUACUGUUAUUUAAUUUGGAUAAAACCUAACAACAAGUUGUUGCAAACCUUGUGGCUCAUAAUAUUGUGUUUUGUCUUUGGGUUCAAAUCUCACAAUUAUUGAAGACGUUUUGGUUAUUUUAUCAUCUUUACAUCUAAAACACUACAAUAGAUGUCACCACACAGUGGUGCAGGAGAUAAUAAGUUUCUCCAUGAAUUGUGGAGUCCUGAGUUCAAAACCCACUUUUGCUUACAUUCAGCUGUUGUUACUGUUUCCAGCAAAACACCACCUAAAAUGCUUAUAAAAAUGACUUAGCUCAAGUUUUUAUUUAUUCAUUCAUUUAAUUAUUUUAAUCACAUAAACCAAAGCUCUUAAUAUAACCUGUCCAAAACAACCGUUAACACACCUGUUCCAGUGGCUCAAGACGCAGAGUGUUGUGUUGGGAUCAUUGAGUUCUGAGUUCAAGCCCAACUAUUGCUUACGUUAAAGCUCAUGUAUUGCAUUAUAUCCAACAAAGUGGAGCAAACGCAAGCUUUCAAUAUGAAAGCCAGUGUGGCACUAAUGGCUAAACACAUGUUACUCACAAUCAGGACUGCAGUGGUGUGACGGGU
Long non-coding RNA from Cyprinus carpio (common carp), 1131 nucleotides. RefSeq lists it as uncharacterized. The record is from RefSeq and is a predicted model, not a curated record. Lineage: Eukaryota; Metazoa; Chordata; Actinopteri; Cypriniformes; Cyprinidae.